GACGAACGCUGGCGGCGUGCUUAACACAUGCAAGUCGAACGGAAAGGCCCUGCUUUUGUGGGGUGCUCGAGUGGCGAACGGGUGAGUAACACGUGAGUAACCUGCCCUUGACUUUGGGAUAACUUCAGGAAACUGUGGCUAAUACCGGAUAGGAGCUCCUGCUGCAUGGUGGGGGUUGGAAAGUUUCGGCGGUUGGGGAUGGACUCGCGGCUUAUCAGCUUGUUGGUGAGGUAGUGGCUUACCAAGGCUUUGACGGAUAGCCGGCCUGAGAGGGUGACCGGCGACACGAGGAGUGAGGGACGGCCCAGAAUCAUACGGGAGGCAAUAGUGGGAAAUAUUGCACAAUGGGCGGAAGCGUGAUGCAGCAACACAGCGAGCGGGAAGACGGCCUGCGGGUUGUGAACCGAUUUCGCCUGUGACGAAGAGAGAGUGACGGUAAUGAGUAAAGAAGCACCGGCUAACUACGUG
This 468-nucleotide ribosomal RNA is filed under the name uncultured bacterium. RNAcentral describes it as "partial 16S ribosomal RNA". It matches the Rfam family "Bacterial small subunit ribosomal RNA", at positions 28 to 507 of the family's 1533-position model. The record is from RNAcentral.